RNAcentral lists this ribosomal RNA (1540 nucleotides) under Staphylococcus aureus. RNAcentral's name for it is "16S ribosomal RNA". It matches the Rfam family "Bacterial small subunit ribosomal RNA". Lineage: Bacteria; Bacillati; Bacillota; Bacilli; Caryophanales; Staphylococcaceae. The record is from RNAcentral.
AGAGUUUGAUCCUGGCUCAGGAUGAACGCUGGCGGCGUGCCUAAUACAUGCAAGUCGAGCGAACAGACGAGAAGCUUGCUUCUCUGAUGUUAGCGGCGGACGGGUGAGUAACACGUGGAUAACCUACCUAUAAGACUGGGAUAACUUCGGGAAACCGGAGCUAAUACCGGAUAAUAUUUUGAACCGCAUGGUUCAAAAGUGAAAGACGGUCUUGCUGUCACUUAUAGAUGGAUCCGCGCUGCAUUAGCUAGUUGGUAAGGUAACGGCUUACCAAGGCAACGAUGCAUAGCCGACCUGAGAGGGUGAUCGGCCACACUGGAACUGAGACACGGUCCAGACUCCUACGGGAGGCAGCAGUAGGGAAUCUUCCGCAAUGGGCGAAAGCCUGACGGAGCAACGCCGCGUGAGUGAUGAAGGUCUUCGGAUCGUAAAACUCUGUUAUUAGGGAAGAACAUAUGUGUAAGUAACUGUGCACAUCUUGACGGUACCUAAUCAGAAAGCCACGGCUAACUACGUGCCAGCAGCCGCGGUAAUACGUAGGUGGCAAGCGUUAUCCGGAAUUAUUGGGCGUAAAGCGCGCGUAGGCGGUUUUUUAAGUCUGAUGUGAAAGCCCACGGCUCAACCGUGGAGGGUCAUUGGAAACUGGAAAACUUGAGUGCAGAAGAGGAAAGUGGAAUUCCAUGUGUAGCGGUGAAAUGCGCAGAGAUAUGGAGGAACACCAGUGGCGAAGGCGACUUUCUGGUCUGUAACUGACGCUGAUGUGCGAAAGCGUGGGGAUCAAACAGGAUUAGAUACCCUGGUAGUCCACGCCGUAAACGAUGAGUGCUAAGUGUUAGGGGGUUUCCGCCCCUUAGUGCUGCAGCUAACGCAUUAAGCACUCCGCCUGGGGAGUACGACCGCAAGGUUGAAACUCAAAGGAAUUGACGGGGACCCGCACAAGCGGUGGAGCAUGUGGUUUAAUUCGAAGCAACGCGAAGAACCUUACCAAAUCUUGACAUCCUUUGACAACUCUAGAGAUAGAGCCUUCCCCUUCGGGGGACAAAGUGACAGGUGGUGCAUGGUUGUCGUCAGCUCGUGUCGUGAGAUGUUGGGUUAAGUCCCGCAACGAGCGCAACCCUUAAGCUUAGUUGCCAUCAUUAAGUUGGGCACUCUAAGUUGACUGCCGGUGACAAACCGGAGGAAGGUGGGGAUGACGUCAAAUCAUCAUGCCCCUUAUGAUUUGGGCUACACACGUGCUACAAUGGACAAUACAAAGGGCAGCGAAACCGCGAGGUCAAGCAAAUCCCAUAAAGUUGUUCUCAGUUCGGAUUGUAGUCUGCAACUCGACUACAUGAAGCUGGAAUCGCUAGUAAUCGUAGAUCAGCAUGCUACGGUGAAUACGUUCCCGGGUCUUGUACACACCGCCCGUCACACCACGAGAGUUUGUAACACCCGAAGCCGGUGGAGUAACCUUUUAGGAGCUAGCCGUCGAAGGUGGGACAAAUGAUUGGGGUGAAGUCGUAACAAGGUAGCCGUAUCGGAAGGUGCGGCUGGAUCACCU